AAUCGUUUACACACGAAAAAUAAAAACGCGUCGUAGUAAUUUACUCAAAACUUAAAAAAAAAAAAAAAAAAACCACACGCUUAAUAAUUAAACCUGCAGCAUAAUCAAUAGCGGUUUCGAAAAAAAGUACAGACUACAUAUAAAGAAAAAAAAAAACGCUGCCAGAAAUACCCUCUUUAUAAAUAUUUCGUGAUUCCAAGCAGAGUACUGGAAAAAAAAACACACACACACACACACGUCAUAACAUGACCAAUAAGUUUUAAUCAUAACGAUAUUCGACGGGAAAUUGCAUUGUGCGGGACUCUCGGUGAAGUCGUUUUCUAAACAGCGAUUUUGCGCGAUGUAUUGUGUACGCGUACACAUCAUACGCAUAUACAGGGGGAUCGGGAUAAUCGGUCUGUAAUUAAUUUGCAGGGCCCUCGACCGGAGAAGUGUGCGAGCUCUCGAUUCCGGACGGACCGCGCUGCUGUUGUGCCGUGGGUCUAAAAUAAUUUUCCGGUAUAGCACUUCAAAAAGCAAUUAUAAGCGUAUAAUGGUUUGAGCGCGGGGAUCGGAGUAAAUGAGAUAAUUUCACGCUAUCAAAAUAAAUCUUUGUUUUGUCAACAUAUUGUGUACGUAUAGACAGUGUUGUCUGAGUG
Non-coding RNA from Cinara cedri, 638 nucleotides. The record is from the annotation of a GenBank genome assembly. NCBI's taxonomy places the organism in Eukaryota, Metazoa, Arthropoda, Insecta, Hemiptera, Aphididae.